Molecule: long non-coding RNA, 245 nt
Filed under: Physcomitrium patens
Lineage: Eukaryota; Viridiplantae; Streptophyta; Bryopsida; Funariales; Funariaceae
Description: long non-coding RNA (PPAT_LNC012909)
Source: RNAcentral
AGAGAGGAGAGAAAAAGGAAGGGGGUAUUCGGAGAUCCGGUUUUUGGAAUUGGAGAGCUAGCUUCAAGCUCCUUCGAUAGGUGUAGAAUUGGAUUUUGUAGGGUUGAGAGGACUUUUGCAAUCGUUGUUGAAAGUCAGUGUUUGUAUUGGUGAAUUGGAUUUUUUUUGUAAUAAAAUUAAGGCUGAUACUCUUGACUGUUUUGUGAAAUUGGAGAAACUUCUGUAGUUGAAAUUUAGAGGUAUCU